Molecule: ribosomal RNA, 372 nt
Filed under: uncultured organism
Description: bacterial SSU rRNA
Rfam family: Bacterial small subunit ribosomal RNA
Source: RNAcentral
CAGAGGUCUCAAGCGUUGUUCGGAUUCAUUGGGCGUAAAGGGUGCGUAGGCGGCGCGGUAAGUCGGGUGUGAAAUCUCGGAGCUUAACUCCGAAACUGCAUUCGAUACUGCCGUGCUUGAGGACUGGAGAGGAGACUGGAAUUUACGGUGUAGCGGUGAAAUGCGUAGAUAUCGUAAGGAAGACCAGUGGCGAAGGCGGGUCUCUGGACAGUUCCUGACGCUGAGGCACGAAGGUCAGGGGAGCAAACGGGAUUAGAUACCCCGGUAGUCCUGACAGUAAACGGUGCACGUUUGGUGUGGGAGGAUUCGACCCCUUCUGCGCCGGAGCUAACGCGUUAAACGUGCCGCCUGGGGAGUACGGUCGCAAGAUUA